This 467-nucleotide ribosomal RNA is filed under the name uncultured bacterium. RNAcentral describes it as "partial 16S ribosomal RNA". It matches the Rfam family "Bacterial small subunit ribosomal RNA", at positions 30 to 507 of the family's 1533-position model. The record is from RNAcentral.
AGUGAACGCUGGCGGUAGGCCUAACACAUGCAAGUCGAACGGCAGCACAGUAAGAGCUUGCUCUUACGGGUGGCGAGUGGCGGACGGGUGAGGAAUACAUCGGAAUCUACUUUUUCGUGGGGGAUAACGUAGGGAAACUUACGCUAAUACCGCAUACGACCUACGGGUGAAAGCAGGGGAUCUUCGGACCUUGGGCGAUUGAAUGAGCCGAUGUCGGAUUAGCUAGUUGGCGGGGUAAAGGCCCACCAAGGCGACGAUCCGUAGCUGGUCUGAGAGGAGGAUCAGCGAGAGUGGGACUGAGACACGGCCCAGACUGAGAGGGGAGGCAGCGGUGGGGAAUAUUGGACAAGGGGAGAAAGUCCGAUAAAGCAAUGCAGGGGGCGUGGUGAAGGCCUUAGGGUUGUAAAGCUCUUUUACCAGGGAUGAUAAUGACAGUACCGGGAAAAUAAGCUCGGGCUAACUACGUG